ACGCGAGCUGGGUUCAGAACGUCGUGAGACAGUUCGGUCCCUAUCCGUCGCAGGCGUAGGAAAUUUGAGAAGACCUGUCCUUAGUACGAGAGGACCGGGAUGGACGUACCUCUGGUGUACCAGUUGUCCUGCCAAGGGAAUGGCUGGGUAGCUAUGUACGGAAUGGAUAAGCGCUGAAAGCAUCUAAGCGCGAAGCCAACUUCAAGAUAAGAUUUCCCACCGCAAGGGUAAGACCCCAGAAAGACUAUCUGGUUGAUAGGUCGAAGGUGUAAGUGCAGCAAUGUAUUUAGCUUAUCGAUACUAAUAGGUCGAGGACUUGACCAAU
This 325-nucleotide ribosomal RNA is filed under the name Clostridioides difficile. RNAcentral's name for it is "bacterial LSU rRNA". It matches the Rfam family "Bacterial large subunit ribosomal RNA", at positions 2598 to 2925 of the family's 2925-position model. Lineage: Bacteria; Bacillati; Bacillota; Clostridia; Peptostreptococcales; Peptostreptococcaceae. The record is from RNAcentral.